GACGAACGCUGGCGGCGUGCUUAACACAUGCAAGUCGAGCGGUAAGGCCCUUUCGGGGGUACACGAGCGGCGAACGGGUGAGUAACACGUGGGUGACCUGCCCUCAGCUCUGGGAUAAGCCUGGGAAACUGGGUCUAAUACUGGAUAUGACUCCACGGUGCAUGUCGUGGGGUGGAAAGCCUUGUGCGGCUGAGGAUGGGCCCGCGGCCUAUCAGCUUGUUGGUGGGGUGAUGGCCUACCAAGGCGACGACGGGUAGCGGCCUGAGAGGGCGACCGGCCACACUGGGACUGAGACACGGCCCAGACUCCUACGGGAGGCAGCAGUGGGGAAUCUUGCGCAAUGGGCGAAAGCCUGACGCAGCGACGCCGCGUGAGGGAUGACGGCCUC
Molecule: ribosomal RNA, 388 nt
Filed under: uncultured bacterium
Lineage: Bacteria
Description: bacterial SSU rRNA
Rfam family: Bacterial small subunit ribosomal RNA
Source: RNAcentral